CUGGGUAGCUACGUUCGGAAGGGAGAAAUGCUGAAGGCAUCUAAGCGUGAAACCCUCCCCAAGAUGAGAUUUCCCGAGCCGUAAGGCUCCUAAAGGCUCCUGGAAGACUACCAGGUCGAUAGGCCAGGUGUGUAAGGCCAGCGAUGGUCUUAGCUAACUGGUACUAAUCAGCCGUGCGGCUUGACCUU
Molecule: ribosomal RNA, 188 nt
Filed under: Vicinamibacterales bacterium
Lineage: Bacteria; Pseudomonadati; Acidobacteriota; Vicinamibacteria; Vicinamibacterales
Description: partial 23S ribosomal RNA
Rfam family: Bacterial large subunit ribosomal RNA
Source: RNAcentral